GAUCCUGGCUCAGGAUGAACGCUGGCGGCGCGCCUAACACAUGCAAGUCGAACGGCACCCCUCUCCGGAGGGAAGCGAGUGGCGAACGGCUGAGUAACACGUGGAGAACCUGCCCCCUCCCCCGGGAUAGCCGCCCGAAAGGACGGGUAAUACCGGAUACCCCCGGGCGCCGCACGGCGCCCGGGCUAAAGCCCCGACGGGAGGGGAUGGCUCCGCGGCCCAUCAGGUAGACGGCGGGGUGACGGCCCACCGUGCCGACAACGGGUAGCCGGGUUGAGAG
RNAcentral lists this ribosomal RNA (280 nucleotides) under uncultured bacterium. RNAcentral describes it as "partial 16S ribosomal RNA". It matches the Rfam family "Bacterial small subunit ribosomal RNA", at positions 15 to 298 of the family's 1533-position model. The record is from RNAcentral.